GCAUUGGUGGUAUAGUGGUCAGCAUUGCUGCUUGCCAAGCAGUUGACCCGUGUUCCAUUCCCGGCCAAUGCA
Molecule: non-coding RNA, 72 nt
Organism: Larimichthys crocea (large yellow croaker)
Lineage: Eukaryota; Metazoa; Chordata; Actinopteri; Sciaenidae
Source: Rfam